Molecule: long non-coding RNA, 436 nt
Filed under: Trifolium pratense (red clover)
Lineage: Eukaryota; Viridiplantae; Streptophyta; Magnoliopsida; Fabales; Fabaceae
Description: long non-coding RNA (TPRA_LNC007300)
Source: RNAcentral
CAAAAUGUGUGAAUAAAUAAUAUGCAACAGUCAAAUGAGCCACUUAAUUUGGGACGGAGAGAGUAGCGACAACAUGAGACUCCUCGUACGUCACACAGGUGUCCUACUUGUCACUUGACAAAAAAAAAAGCAAUACCAUAUGCUAAACAGUAAGCAUCCACAUGGAUUACCACAAAAAAGACAAGAUCGUGACUUAAAAAAGAUUAUCAUGAACUUUGUCAAGUUGAAUUGUAUAUUGAAGUCUUUUGUUCUCAAUUUGUCGUUCUAUGUACUAAUUAAAUUACUAAUUGCAUUGAGCCUUUGUUUUUUCUGAUUUUGAUUGUGCCUUUGUCAUAUGCCUUUGAUUUCCAUUGCAAUUUUCUUUUGCAGUUGGCGGAUGCCUAACUUAUAUAACUAUGCCACUUUCUAAUUUUACAUAUAUCUCUUUUGAAUAUUU